CAGCAGCCGCGGGAAUACGAAGGGUGCAAGCGUUACUCGGAAUUACUGGGCGUAAAGCGUGCGUAGGUGGUGGUUUAAGUCUGCUGUGAAAGCCCUGGGCUCAACCUGGGAAUUGCAGUGGAUACUGGAUCACUAGAGUGUGGUAGAGGGAUGCGGAAUUUCUGGUGUAGCAGUGAAAUGCGUAGAGAUCAGAGGGAACAUCCGUGGCGAAGGCGGCAUCCUGGGCCAACACUGACACUGAGGCACGAAAGCGUGGGGAGCAAACAGGACUAGAUACCCCCGUAGUCCCUGUCUCUUAUAC
RNAcentral lists this ribosomal RNA (301 nucleotides) under uncultured bacterium. Its description in RNAcentral is "partial 16S ribosomal RNA". It matches the Rfam family "Bacterial small subunit ribosomal RNA", at positions 509 to 807 of the family's 1533-position model. The record is from RNAcentral.